This 76-nucleotide transfer RNA is filed under the name Chloroflexota bacterium. Its description in RNAcentral is "tRNA-Arg". It matches the Rfam family "tRNA". From Rfam's summary of the family: Transfer RNA (tRNA) molecules are approximately 80 nucleotides in length. Their secondary structure includes four short double-helical elements and three loops (D, anti-codon, and T loops). The record is from RNAcentral. RNAcentral also lists the same sequence under 2 other names. Lineage: Bacteria; Bacillati; Chloroflexota.
GCGCCCGUAGCUCAAUGGAUAGAGCGUCUGACUUCGGAUCAGAAGGUUGCGGGUUCGAGUCCUGCCGGGCGCGCCA